AGAGUUUGAUCCUGGCUCAGAUUGAACGCUGGCGGCAGGCUUAACACAUGCAAGUCGAGCGGAGAGAGGUAGCUUGCUACUGAUCUUAGCGGCGGACGGGUGAGUAAUGUUUAGGAAUCUGCCUAUUAGUGGGGGACAACAUCUCGAAAGGGAUGCUAAUACCGCAUACGUCCUACGGGAGAAAGCAGGGGAUCUUCGGACCUUGCGCUAAUAGAUGAGCCUAAGUCGGAUUAGCUAGUUGGUGGGGUAAAGGCCUACCAAGGCGACGAUCUGUAGCGGGUCUGAGAGGAUGAUCCGCCACACUGGGACUGAGACGCGGCCCAGACUCCUACGGGAGGCAGCAGUGGGGAAUAUUGGACAAUGGGGGGAACCCUGAUCCAGCCAUGCCGCGUGUGUGAAGAAGGCCUUAUGGUUGUAAAGCACUUUAAGCGAGGAGGAGGCUACUUUAGUUAAUACCUAGAGAUAGUGGACGUUACUCGCAGAAUAAGCACCGGCUAACUCUGCGCCAGCAGCCGCGGUAAUACAGAGGGUGCAAGCGUUAAUCGGAUUUACUGGGCGUAAAGCGCGCGUAGGCGGCUAAUUAAGUCAAAUGUGAAAUCCCCGAGCUUAACUUGGGAAUUGCAUUCGAUACUGGUUAGCUAGAGUGUGGGAGAGGAUGGUAGAAUUCCAGGUGUAGCGGUGAAAUGCGUAGAGAUCUGGAGGAAUACCGAUGGCGAAGGCAGCCAUCUGGCCUAACACUGACGCUGAGGUGCGAAAGCAUGGGGAGCAAACAGGAUUAGAUACCCUGGUAGUCCAUGCCGUAAACGACGUCUACUAGCCGUUGGGGCCUUUGAGGCUUUAGUGGCGCAGCUAACGCGAUAAGUAGACCGCCUGGGGAGUACGGUCGCAAGACUAAAACUCAAAUGAAUUGACGGGGGCCCGCACAAGCGGUGGAGCAUGUGGUUUAAUUCGAUGCAACGCGAAGAACCUUACCUGGCCUUGACAUAGUAAGAACUUUCCAGAGAUGGAUUGGUGCCUUCGGGAACUUACAUACAGGUGCUGCAUGGUUGUCGUCAGCUCGUGUCGUGAGAUGUUGGGUUAAGUCCCGCAACAAGCGCAACCCUUCUCCUUAUUUGCCAGCGAGUAAUGUCGGGAACUUUAAGGAUACUGCCAGUGACAAACUGGAGGAAGGCGGGGACGACGUCAAGUCAUCAUGGCCCUUACGGCCAGGGCUACACACGUGCUACAAUGGUCGGUACAAAGGGUUGCUACACAGCGAUGUGAUGCUAAUCUCAAAAAGCCGAUCGCAGUCCGGAUUGGAGUCUGCAACUCGACUCCAUGAAGUCGGAAUCGCUAGUAAUCGCGGAUCAGAAUGCCGCGGUGAAUACGUUCCCGGGCCUUGUACACACCGCCCGUCACACCAUGGGAGUUUGUUGCACCAGAAGUAGCUAGCCUAACUGCAAAGAGGGCGGUUACCACGGUGUGGCCGAUGACUGGGGUGAAGUCGUAACAAGGUAACC
This 1499-nucleotide ribosomal RNA is filed under the name Acinetobacter sp. SOD-103. RNAcentral's name for it is "bacterial SSU rRNA". It matches the Rfam family "Bacterial small subunit ribosomal RNA". Lineage: Bacteria; Pseudomonadati; Pseudomonadota; Gammaproteobacteria; Moraxellales; Moraxellaceae. The record is from RNAcentral.